CUAACCAAACAGCCCCCUAACCAAACGCUCCUCUCCUCUCUCUUCAACCUAACCAUCGCCGCCACCCCUUCCACCCCGUCACGUCCGUCACCUCACCACCACCACGCCCAUAUCCCACAAAAUCCGCUACCUACACCCCUCUUCUCCUUUCUCACACUCCAUCUCUGAAGCUUGCAGGCUCCAUGUGCGAUUUCAGCGGAUUUCAUGAGGAUUUGGAGACUCGAGACGACAACAAGCCUCAGUUUGCUGUCACGGAGAAGGUAAUCGCAUUCGUCCUAUCUUCGUCUUUAAUUUAGUAGAAGUAGAAAUGUAGUCGUUCAAGUAUUUCUUGUCGUUUAUUUGGUUUAGUUGGAUGCUGGAAUAUGUGUUCCCCUCGUUUGUUGUAAAUUAGCGUGAAACGACUAAUUUCGUCGAAUAUGUGUUUGACUCCCGUCGCUGCUGUCAAAAGAUAACAUUUGAACCCCAUUUUAUUCCUAUCAUUCAUUUUCGCAUUAGCACAUAAGUGUUUAUUUUUGGUUUGUUUGAGAAGAUUUAUUUUAAAAUAUGUAGCCUAACGUUGGCAGAAAAGUGGUUGCUGCACUUAAACUAAGAAGGAUUGCCACUGCUAUUUGUUGAUGUAUUGGCAUGAGUCUACUAUAAUUGGGGCAAAGUUGCCACUGCCUUUGAGAUGCCACACUUUCAGACUUCUAGAUGAUGUUGCAUUAUAGGCUGUUUGCUCCAAGGACAACUUGAGUUCCCAGGAGCUUUAAUGUUGCACUUUGGCGAUAACCUUGCUGUUUUUCCUACUUGCUAUUUAUUGAUGUUGUUUUGCUGCUACAUCUUGGUGCAAGGGUUGCUGUGCCUUAGGCAUAUUUUACUGCAUAUUGUUUUUUAGUUAAACUAGUACUGCUACUUGGUUGCUGGUUGCCCCCUUACCUUUGUGGCUACUAUUGCUGCUAUAUUGUCCUCAUAGAUGUUGUGCCCCCUCUCCUCUCAAAAACAAAUACUACACUUGAUAGGAAAUGGUUGCUCCCAUAUUUAUUAUGGCCUAUUGUUGCUGUUUUCUCUGUUGUUUGCUGCUGCCCUACAAAAUUAGACUGUUACUUAUUGUUGUCAUGCUUGUAAAUUGAACCCUUGACAUGUUCAAAAAAUGUUCUUCUGGGCUGUUGUUAUCGCUGUUUGCCCUGUGUCGCUGCCCAUUUUGGGAUAAGUUUUCCCCUUCCAUGUUGUUGCUAUUUGUUGUAGUUGGCUGCCCUGUUGAUGACCAUUUUAAGCCUAAUGACUGAUGUACUUAGCCAAAGAUCGCUGGUGUAUUUUUGGAAAAAUCGACUAAUGUGUUUAAAUUUCAAAGUGCUAUAAUUUUCGCUAUAAACUUUCUGCCAAACACGAGUAGAUGCUCCACUUAGCUGCUGGUUCGUAUUGUUAUACUUCGAGGCCGAAUGGCUGACUAUAGUUGACAUCCAACUGCUGCAUAUAGCAGUAGAUCCCAAUAAAAUUUGGGAUUUCCAUUUGAAGCUCGUGUGUUACUUAAGUGUUGCUGCAUUUUAGACCCUUUGCUACUACGUUUGUGGCCAUUUUCACCUCAUUUUGGGACUGAUUUACUGCCUGCAUUUUGGCCAACUGAUUGCUGCAUUUUUGUGGCUGAAAAUGCCACAUUCUUGAGACACAUUUAGAACCAAACAGUUACUGCAAUUUAUACCUAGUGUUGCUGCACUUUUGGGGACUGAUUUAAGCCAAACAGUGGCUGCAUUUACUGCUGCAUUUUUGCUAAAAGUUGCUGCCAUAAACAUGGUAUUUCAAGCAAAAUUUGAAGUUAAGUAAUUGCUGCGUUUAGGCCAAAUGUUUUUUUGCAUCUUAAGCCAAGUUGUAGCUGCACUUCAAGGCAAGCACAACACUGCAUUAUGAGCCGAAUCGCUGAGGCAUUUCAAGGCAAGAAGAUGUCGCGUUUUGAGCCGAAGUACUACUGCGAUCUAUGGCGAACAGAUGUUACACUUGAGUUGCAUUUGAUGAACUACUACUACUACAUUUAAAUGAGUUUCGUUUCUCCACUUUAUGAGCUGUUUGUUGUGCAUGAAUGGCUGCAUUUUAAGCAAGUAUAUGAGGUCUUCGGGGAUAGAACACCUGCUGAAUGUUUGGGCAUUUUCGAGGUUCAAAAUGUUAUACUCUUGGCUGUAUUUUUUGGUUAUUCACUGCCGCAUUGUUGGCUGUUUCACUGCUAAUGUUUUUGGCCCAACAACUGCUGCAUUUUAAGGAUGAAAUAAGUUACUUUCUUGAGGCAACAUUUCUUAAAAAAAAAAAAAACAGAUUCCUAUACCUGAUGAAUGUUCACUGAUUUGAACAUGAUACUAUGCUUGGGCUGAUGAAGAGUUGUUUAACUUGAGGCCUCACUUUUAAAAGAACGGAUUUCCAUACUUGAUUGAAAGUUUACUGAUUUGAACACUUGCAUAAAAAGGGAGUGGGGCUGCUAUUUUGAAUUUCGGGUGCAAUUAAUAGCUAACUUAUUUUUCCUUAUUUGAACCUAGAGAAAAAAGGCUAAGUAUCUCUGGAUAUAUGUUGUUUGGGAAUAAGCCAAAAUGAUGUUUUGAAGUUUGAGUAAGCUUUAGUUUAAUCAAAAGUUCUUGUAUUAGCUUGAAGCGUUUUGGUUGUUUGAGUAGCAAUUGGGACUACAAUGAUCUUCUUUUAAACUGAUCGUGGUGUUGCGUUUUGAGAAUGUGUUACGCCCCAGAAAUUUUCAUGUUACCAAGGCUGCAGACGGUUUAAUGUGAGCUCAAGGAGGAGCAAAUAUUAUAAGUAUAAAGGAUGAAAUUCUACUGUAUUAGCAUGAGUAUGAUAUUUGGAAUUCGUACAAUACGAUUGGAAUGAUACGUUAAAAGAUAUAUAGCCCUUGUAAUCGUAAGUUGAGGUGGGGUCCACAUGUCGAAAUUUUAUAAAGGACAUAUGACAAGUUAUAUGGAUAAUAUAUGUGAAGUUUAACACAACUCAAGAAGGACCCUUGAGCCAAAUCAAAGUGAAAGCCCUCCAAAAAGAUGUUUUUAAGUUACGUUUUCGGGUGAUCUGACUUCGGGAGGCCAUAACCCCAUCAUUAUUCGGGAAUUUGGGAAAAUUCCUAAAAUGAAAGUUAUAGAUAAUUGAAAUACCUUUCUAACCAUAGGUCUUGGGCCUGCAUGUGACAUAGGGAUAAAACGUUAUGGACGUUUUAAGGCAGAAAGGUCAAGCUGGGCAGUGGGCUUGGCCCAACUCGAUUCCAAGUCGGGUCAGGCCCACUUCCCUUGCUAUUUAAGGGAAAUUUUUAGCCUCAUCUGCUUCAUUUUCAUACAAAAGGUCCAGAAUAUUUUAGAUAGAGAGAGUAGAGUUAGAGAGAGAGAGAGUGGAGAAUCGAUCAAGUUCGAGGCCCUGAAUCCCGAGGCCAGUGAAGGAUAAAAUGUAGUACAUGUUGUUGCCGUCAUUUUAAGCUAAAAGUUGAACUUGGGGGAUGUUGGUUUCGUGGUGACUGCUCAUAUAAGGUAUGUUUAAGAUGUUCUUACCAUGAUCAUUGAUAGAUUUGACGGGUUAGAAUAGAGAAAAUGACGUUGAAAGUUCGGUUAUAAUUUUUGGAUAUCAAAUGACUUGGGGGCUGUUUUGGUAUGAUUAAAUGGAUAGAAUUAGCUGGAUAUUGAUAUAAAAUGAUUGUUGAUAUGUUGUUGACAAGUUGUUCUUGAAUUUGGGAGAAUAAAGUGUAUGAAGAUAUCAUACAAAGCGUAUACUGGGUUGUUUUGGUGUAUAUCUUUGGGAGUUGAUGCUUUGAGUUUAAAGAGACUUAUAUGAGAUGGUUGUCAUUGUUGUUGGUUGCUGAUUGUGUUGUUAAAUUGAAUUGGAAUUAGAGGGAAGCGAAGAUUACAGGGAAAAUGCUGCCCGAAUUUACGGAAGUUAAUUACGAGCUUAGAGAAGUAUAUGAAUCUUUUUCAAGUUGUCUACGGGGUUUCCUUUACCUUGAUUGUGGAUUGGCCAGUGUUUGGAAACAUAAGUUAAGCUAAUCACGUAAGCGACAAGGUAUGUAAGGAAAACCUUUCUUUCUUUGGCAUGAUUCUUGCUGUUAUUCAUUCUAUAUGUACUCCAUAUAAUCGAUUCCAUUCUUAGACGAGUAAGAUCUAAAUGUUUCUUGUGAUGACUUAUUGAUAUUGUACUCCUAUUCUGUUCCAAAGGGAACACCCAUAAGGUGCCAAGUUGAGUUAUGUAUAUGGUUUUACUAAUGAUUUUGAGGAAAUGCGUUUUAUACUAAAGGAAACAUAAAGUUUGAUUUUCAAAACCAUUCCGAAGGGGGUGCGAGAUUUUACUACUUCAUUUCGUUUAUGAUUUAUGUCUACAUUCCAUAGUAUCAUCCCUUUGUACUGAUAUGAUCACUUAUUCUUUGGGUAGGGCAAUGAGAUGAAAUUAAGUAGAAUAUAAGUAGUAAGAAUUUGAUAACAAUUCUACCCUCAAACCUGAAAGUAUGUCUAGUGAGAUACAAAUUUGAUAAUUUCUUAUGAAAGUCUAAGGCUAAUAACUGGAUUGUGAUGAAUUAAUUAGUGACUUAUGCUUUGAAUUGAAAUUGUUAUUUAUGAAUUGAGUUUGUGUUGAUACGAUGGUGAUAUUAAGCCGGAAGCGGCUGCUCGAAGGGGCCACCCUAGCUAAGCCGGAAGCGGCUGCCCGAAGGGGCCAUCAUUAUUAUGCCGGAAGCGGCCGUUCGAAGGGACUAUUGUGAUACUAGCUGGAAGCGGCUGUGUGAAGGGACUAUUCUGUUAACAUGUCGGAAGCGGCGUAUGUUUUGGAUUGCAUUAUUUACUUAAAGAUUGUUGUGAGACUUCGUGUGCACAUUUAUGUUUCUUCUAGCAAAGGCUGCAGGUAUUGAGUUAGAUUGUGAUUUCUUCUCUCCUAAGUCAAAUUAUGAUUAUGACUUGUUACCACCUUACAUACUCAGUACAUUGUCCGUACUGACGUCCUUUUACCUGGAGACGCGUUCAUGCCCGCAGCCCCAGAUUGUUUGGCAGGUUAAGUGUAUAGCUAGGAUGCUUGGACGUCAGCUGGGAUUGACAAGUUCCACCUCAUUCUGGAGUUGUGCUGAGUCAUGUAUCAAUAUCAGUGUUUUAAAAGACAGUUCUGGGACUCGCCUCGGGGCUAGCCCCGGGGCGGGGCACUAGCAAAAUGCCCCAGGGCUCACGUGCGGGGCUUAAUUCCUGCGAGGCUUACGCCCUAAGCGCCCGAUUGUACGCCCUAAACACGCCUAACGCCCAAUGCUCGGGGCUCGCCUAACAGUUCUUACACAAUUAUAUGUUAAAUUCCUUAAUUAAAACCGUUGACCCUCAUAAUUCUUUAAGAAAUGAUUGAUACUUAAUAAUUUUUCAUUUACCGAAAUAAGAAGAUUGGGUAUAGCUCAAAUAAGAAGUCGUAGUAUUGCAUAUUUACUAUAUGAGAACAUCGUGAGGGUGAAUAUCACUUAAUAUUUCUUUUAAGAAUACAUAACCAAAUUGUGAAUUUUCACUUGUCAUUGGUCUUUUGUUCUAUGUAUCAAAAUUAUCAUAUUUUAUUAUUUCUCUAUUUGAAAGUAAUUUUAUUUUUAUUCAUGAAGGAGUUACGUUUCAAUUAUAAUACUGAUAAAGUUGUAAACAGGGAGAUAUAAUGAAUAGUAUGUUAGUAAUAUUGUUUUAACAAAUUGUGAUUUUUUCAUUGUUUGAAAGUUAAGAUGUUAGAGUUAAUUUGCAUUUUAUAAUAGCUUUUAUUUCAUUAUAUUGUUUAUACUUGUAAGGUUAUAUAUAUAUAUAUAUAUAUAUAUAUAUAUAUAAUUUGAUCUAUUUAAAAAUAUUUAUUAUAAUUAUAUUAUUUUAUGAAAUACAAAAAAUUAAAUACCCAUGGGGCUUACACCCCGUGCCUCGGGGCUUAAGCCUCACUGAGGCAUAUGUAAAACGCCUCGCCUUACGCCCCUAUCUUUUUAAACACUGAUCGACAUGUAUGAUUAUGGGUAUGUCAGAGCCCUGUCCUGACUCAUAAUGUUCAGUUUACUUCUUAUAGACUUCUGCAGACAAUGUCCUGUGGUAUGUUUGUCGAGAUGUCGACAAAGUGAUGUCAGUUGGGUCAUUUGUGGAUUUUAAAAGAGUAUGUAUUUUAGAUGAUCUCCAUUGGUUAAAGUACUUAUUUGAUUGAAGGUUUUCAUAAUUGUUAUAAAGAUGAUGAUUUCUAUCUGGAAAAGUUUUUUUUUUUUUUUUUUUAAGUUUUUGAAAUGACAAGCUUUGAUAGAGCGAGUAUUUAAGGGUUCGCUCGACUCUGAUGAGAGUCGGGUGCUCGUCAUGCCCUACCACUGUUAGGGUGUGACACUAUGACACGAGAAAGCCUUGUCUUACAUUUGAUUAUUUUAUCUAGCUUUUAUUAAUUAAAGUUAUUUAGAUUUUUUUUUCCUCGUUAAGAAUUGUUUCUAAUCCUUAUCUUUAUUUUUUUUUCUUUUCUUUUUCAUGAGGAACCUUGGGAACAUUUGGAUUUAUGGCAACUCCGGAUUUUGCCCAUAUCAGAGAACAGCCAGUUGCAAGAUUUAAUUGCUCGUGUCUAGCCGUCCCUUACUUUCGCAUCUUGAGUUUCCGCUCUUCCUUUAUUCAAAAUUUUUGGCCUUCAUAUUGUUUGAUACGUGCUAUUUAUAUUAUUUGACUAACACUCUUGUGAAUUUGUAUUUUUGUAGUUUUGUUUUGAAUUCGUAACUCGACUUAAGUAUGUUAGUAAGUUUAGUUAUUAUCUUC
Molecule: long non-coding RNA, 6719 nt
Organism: Lycium barbarum (goji berry)
Lineage: Eukaryota; Viridiplantae; Streptophyta; Magnoliopsida; Solanales; Solanaceae
Exons: 2
Source: RefSeq, a predicted model, not a curated record